This 22-nucleotide microRNA is filed under the name Xenopus laevis (African clawed frog). RNAcentral describes it as "xla-miR-5146". The record is from RNAcentral. Lineage: Eukaryota; Metazoa; Chordata; Amphibia; Anura; Pipidae.
AUGGGGAAUGGUUCUGAUUGGC